Molecule: small nuclear RNA, 108 nt
Filed under: uncultured Amoebophrya
Lineage: Eukaryota; Dinophyceae; Syndiniales
Description: partial Dictyostelium signal recognition particle
Source: RNAcentral
CGGCGGAGUGGCACCGGCAGAGCUUGCGCAGCGAGGUUAUGGGCGAGGCGGCACCGCCGCCGCUCGCCGCGGGCGAGGGACCGCUGCCCGCCUUCGCGCCGGCUGCGG